RNA transcript from Perca fluviatilis (European perch), 638 nucleotides. It is a transcript of the gene named guanine nucleotide-binding protein G(I)/G(S)/G(O) subunit gamma-5-like, with no coding region annotated. The record is from RefSeq and is a predicted model, not a curated record. NCBI's taxonomy places the organism in Eukaryota, Metazoa, Chordata, Actinopteri, Perciformes, Percidae. The transcript is spliced from 4 exons.
UCAUCAUCUUUGCUUUUGUCUCAGCAUCCAGCCCAGAAUCCCACCCCACCGCCCUGCGUUUAUUUUUCACAAAAACACAUCGAGAAUGUCGGGAUCCUCUAAUCUUGUAGCUAUGAAAAAAGUCGUACAGCAGCUCCGUUUCGAGGCGAGCAUUAACAGAGUGAAGGUCUCCCAGGCAGCUGCAGACCUUCAACAGUUUUGCAUUCAGAAUGCCUUGCAGGACCCUCUGCUCACUGGUGUGUCCUCCAGCACCAACCCUUUCAGGCCACAGAAGGUCUGCUCCUUCUUGUGAAACCACUGCAUUCAUUGAAACUUCUCAGAUGACUCCAGCAUAAUGUACUUCUUUGCUGUCUACAUGCCUUCAUUUUGAUGCUACAGGGAAAAGUUGACCUCAACACUGCUCCUCAUGCCAAGCCAUUUUACUGCCACGGGAUCUCUCGAGUGUAGAACACAUUGGAAUCAUGUCAGGAAGAUGACCAUCUAUUUUCAGCCACAGUAGAAGAAAGGAGACAGUUUUAUUUUUAAUGGCACAGUGUGAUUUUCGAGGAAAUAAUCGUGCCUUUUCUAUUGUUCUAUUUUAGUCAUCACUGUUCUGGACUUUUUUGUAUUUAAUGAAUUAAAAAAAACAUUCUUUACUA